AACGAACGCUGGCGGCGCGCCUAAUACAUGCAAGUCGAGCGAGAAGGUGUAGCAAUACACUUGUAAAGCGGCGAACGGGUGAGGAAUACAUGGGUAAUCUACCAUCGAGUGGGGAAUAACCAACCGAAAGGUUGGCUAAUACCGCGUACGCCUCCGAGUCUUCGGGUUCGGAGGGAAAGCUGCACUGUGAGUGUAGCGCUCUUUGAUGAGCUCAUGUCCUAUCAGCUUGUUGGUAGGGUAAUGGCCUACCAAGGCUUUGACGGGUAGCUGGUCUGAGAGGACGAUCAGCCACACUGGCACUGCGACACGGGCCAGACUCCUACGGGAGGCAGCAGUAAGGAAUAUUGCGCAAUGGGCGAAAGCCUGACGCAGCGACGCCGCGUGGGGGAUGAAGGUCUUCGGAUUGUAAACCCCUUUCGGAGGGAAGAUGGAGCGAGCAAUCGUUCGGACGGUACCUCCACGAAGCAGCCACGGCCAACUUCGUGCCAGC
Molecule: ribosomal RNA, 490 nt
Filed under: uncultured bacterium
Lineage: Bacteria
Description: bacterial SSU rRNA
Rfam family: Bacterial small subunit ribosomal RNA
Source: RNAcentral